Molecule: ribosomal RNA, 16 nt
Filed under: Penicillium ochrochloron
Lineage: Eukaryota; Fungi; Ascomycota; Eurotiomycetes; Eurotiales; Aspergillaceae
Description: partial 28S ribosomal RNA
Source: RNAcentral
GUGACCUCGGAUCCAG